GUCGGGCAUGGUGGCACAUGCCUGUAGUCCCAGCUACUCGGGAGGCUGAAGUGGGUGGAUCACUUGAGCCCAGGAGUUCUGGGCUGCAGUGCGCUAUGCUGAUUGGGUGUCCACACUAAGUUCAGCAUCAACAUGGUGACCUGGGAGCAAGGGACCACCAGGUUGCCUAAGGAGGGGUGAAUCAGCUCAGGUCGGAAACAGAGCAGGUCAAAACUACCAUGCUGAUCAGUAGUGGGAUCGCACCUGUGAAUAGCCACUGCACUCCAGCCUGGGCAACGUAGUGAGACCCUGUCUCUU
Callithrix jacchus (white-tufted-ear marmoset) is the source of this 297-nucleotide unclassified non-coding RNA. It matches the Rfam family "Metazoan signal recognition particle RNA". Rfam says of the family: The signal recognition particle (SRP) is a universally conserved ribonucleoprotein. It is involved in the co-translational targeting of proteins to membranes. The eukaryotic SRP consists of a 300-nucleotide 7S RNA and six proteins: SRPs 72, 68, 54, 19, 14, and 9. NCBI's taxonomy places the organism in Eukaryota, Metazoa, Chordata, Mammalia, Primates, Cebidae. The record is from Ensembl.